GGUUAAGUUAGAAAGGGCGCACGGUGGAUGCCUUGGCACUAGGAGCCGAUGAAGGACGGGACGAACACCGAUAUGCUUCGGGGAGCUGUAAGCAAGCUUUGAUCCGGAGAUUUCCGAAUGGGGAAACCCACCACUCGUAAUGGAGUGGUAUCCAUAUCUGAAUACAUAGGAUAUGAGAAGGCAGACCCGGGGAACUGAAACAUCUAAGUACCCGGAGGAAGAGAAAGCAAAUGCGAUUCCCUGAGUAGCGGCGAGCGAAACGGGACCAGCCCAAACCAAGAGGCUUGCCUCUUGGGGUUGUAGGACACUCUGUACGGAGUUACAAAGGAACGAGGUAGAUGAAGAGGUCUGGAAAGGCCCGCCAUAGGAGGUAACAGCCCUGUAGUCAAAACUUCGUUCUCUCCUGAGUGGAUCCUGAGUACGGCGGAACACGUGAAAUUCCGUCGGAAUCCGGGAGGACCAUCUCCCAAGGCUAAAUACUCCCUAGUGACCGAUAGUGAACCAGUACCGUGAGGGAAAGGUGAAAAGCACCCCGGAAGGGGAGUGAAAGAGAUCCUGAAACCGUGUGCCUACAAGUAGUCAGAGCCCGUUAACGGGUGAUGGCGUGCCUUUUGUAGAAUGAACCGGCGAGUUACGAUCCCGUGCAAGGUUAAGCAGAAGAUGCGGAGCCGCAGCGAAAGCGAGUCUGAAUAGGGCGAAUUGAGUACGUGGUCGUAGACCCGAAACCAGGUGAUCUACCCAUGUCCAGGGUGAAGUUCAGGUAACACUGAAUGGAGGCCCGAACCCACGCACGUUGAAAAGUGCGGGGAUGAGGUGUGGGUAGGGGUGAAAUGCCAAUCGAACCUGGAGAUAGCUGGUUCUCUCCGAAAUAGCUUUAGGGCUAGCCUCAAGGUAAGAGUCUCGGAGGUAGAGCACUGAUUGGACUAGGGGCCCCUACCGGGUUACCGAAUUCAGUCAAACUCCGAAUGCCGAUGACUUAUCCUUGGGAGUCAGACUGCGAGUGAUAAGAUCCGUAGUCGAAAGGGAAACAGCCCAGACCGCCAGCUAAGGUCCCAAAGUAUACGUUAAGUGGAAAAGGAUGUGGAGUUGCUUAGACAACCAGGAUGUUGGCUUAGAAGCAGCCACCAUUUAAAGAGUGCGUAAUAGCUCACUGGUCGAGUGACUCUGCGCCGAAAAUGUACCGGGGCUAAACGUAUCACCGAAGCUGCGGACUGUUCUUCGAACAGUGGUAGGAGAGCGUUCUAAGGGCUGUGAAGCAAGACCGGAAGGACUUGUGGAGCGCUUAGAAGUGAGAAUGCCGGUAUGAGUAGCGAAAGAGGGGUGAGAAUCCCCUCCACCGAAUGCCUAAGGUUUCCUGAGGAAGGCUCGUCCGCUCAGGGUUAGUCGGGACCUAAGCCGAGGCCGAAAGGCGUAGGCGAUGGAUAACAGGUUGAUAUUCCUGUACCACCUCCUCACCAUUUGAGCAAUGGGGGACGCAGGAGGAUAGGGUAAGCGCGGUAUUGGAUAUCCGCGUCCAAGCAGUUAGGCUGGGAAAUAGGCAAAUCCGUUUCCCGUGAAGGCUGAGCUGUGAUGGCGAGCGAAUUAUAGUAGCGAAGUUCCUGAUUCCACACUGCCAAGAAAAGCCUCUAGCGAGGUGAGAGGUGCCCGUACCGCAAACCGACACAGGUAGGCGAGGAGAGAAUCCUAAGGUGAUCGAGAGAACUCUCGUUAAGGAACUCGGCAAAAUGACCCCGUAACUUCGGAGAAGGGGUGCUCUGUUAGGGUGCAAGCCCGAGAGAGCCGCAGUGAAUAGGCCCAGGCGACUGUUUAGCAAAAACACAGGUCUCUGCGAAGCCGUAAGGCGAAGUAUAGGGGCUGACGCCUGCCCGGUGCUGGAAGGUUAAGAGGAGCGCUUAGCGUAAGCGAAGGUGCGAAUUGAAGCCCCAGUAAACGGCGGCCGUAACUAUAACGGUCCUAAGGUAGCGAAAUUCCUUGUCGGGUAAGUUCCGACCCGCACGAAAGGCGCAACGAUCUGGGCACUGUCUCAACGAGAGACUCGGUGAAAUUAUAGUACCUGUGAAGAUGCAGGUUACCCGCGACAGGACGGAAAGACCCCGUGGAGCUUUACUGCAGCCUGAUAUUGAAUGUUGGUACAGCUUGUACAGGAUAGGUAGGAGCCUUGGAAACCGGAGCGCCAGCUUCGGUGGAGGCAUCGGUGGGAUACUACCCUGGCUGUAUUGACCUUCUAACCCGCCGCCCUUAUCGGGCGGGGAGACAGUGUCAGGUGGGCAGUUUGACUGGGGCGGUCGCCUCCUAAAAGGUAACGGAGGCGCCCAAAGGUUCCCUCAGAAUGGUUGGAAAUCAUUCGCAGAGUGUAAAGGCACAAGGGAGCUUGACUGCGAGACCUACAAGUCGAGCAGGGACGAAAGUCGGGCUUAGUGAUCCGGUGGUUCCGCAUGGAAGGGCCAUCGCUCAACGGAUAAAAGCUACCCCGGGGAUAACAGGCUUAUCUCCCCCAAGAGUCCACAUCGACGGGAGGUUUGGCACCUCGAUGUCGGCUCAUCGCAUCCUGGGGCUGUAGUCGGUCCCAAGGGUUGGGCUGUUCGCCCAUUAAAGCGGUACGCGAGCUGGGUUCAGAACGUCGUGAGACAGUUCGGUCCCUAUCCGUCGCGGGCGCAGGAAAUUUGAGAGGAGCUGUCCUUAGUACGAGAGGACCGGGAUGGACGCACCGCUGGUGUACCAGUUGUUCUGCCAAGGGCAUCGCUGGGUAGCUAUGUGCGGACGGGAUAAGUGCUGAAAGCAUCUAAGCAUGAAGCCCCCCUCAAGAUGAGAUUUCCCAUUCCGCAAGGAAGUAAGAUCCCUGAAAGAUGAUCAGGUUGAUAGGUCUGAGGUGGAAGUGUGGCGACACAUGGAGCUGACAGAUACUAAUCGAUCGAGGACUUAACCAA
This 2927-nucleotide ribosomal RNA is filed under the name Bacillus velezensis. RNAcentral describes it as "23S ribosomal RNA". It matches the Rfam family "Bacterial large subunit ribosomal RNA". Lineage: Bacteria; Bacillati; Bacillota; Bacilli; Caryophanales; Bacillaceae. The record is from RNAcentral.